UGAGGAAUAUUGGUCAAUGGACGCAAGUCUGAACCAGCCAAGUCGCGUGAAGGAUGACUGCCCUACGGGUUGUAAACUUCUUUUGUACAAGAGUAAAGUGCGCCACGUGUGGCGUAUUGCAAGUAUUGUACGAAUAAGCAUCGGCUAACUCCGUGCCAGCAGCCGCGGUAAUACGGAGGAUGCGAGCGUUAUCCGGAUUUAUUGGGUUUAAAGGGUGCGUAGGCGGGUUUUUAAGUCAGCGGUGAAAGUUUGAGGCUUAACCUUAAAAUUGCCGUUGAAACUGGGGACCUUGAGUGUAAAUGAAGUAGGCGGAAUUCGUAGUGUAGCGGUGAAAUGCAUAGAUAUUACGAAGAACCCCGAUUGCGCAGGCAGCUUACUAAGCUACAACUGACGCUGAAGCACGAAAGCGUGGGUAUCAAACA
RNAcentral lists this ribosomal RNA (422 nucleotides) under uncultured bacterium. Its description in RNAcentral is "bacterial SSU rRNA". It matches the Rfam family "Bacterial small subunit ribosomal RNA", at positions 355 to 774 of the family's 1533-position model. The record is from RNAcentral.